This 490-nucleotide ribosomal RNA is filed under the name uncultured bacterium. Its description in RNAcentral is "partial 16S ribosomal RNA". It matches the Rfam family "Bacterial small subunit ribosomal RNA", at positions 30 to 507 of the family's 1533-position model. The record is from RNAcentral.
AUUGAACGCUGGCGGCAUGCUUUACACAUGCAAGUCGGACGGCAGCGGGGUAGUGCUUGCACUACUGCCGGCGAGUGGCGGACGGGUGAGUAAUAUAUUGGAACGUACCGAGUAAUGGGGGAUAACCAAUCGAAAGAUUGGCUAAUACCGCAUACGCUCUGAGGAGGAAAGCAGGGGACCUUCGGGUCUUGCGUUAUUCGAGCGGCCAAUAUCUGAUUAGCUAGUUGGCGGGGUAAGGGCCUACCAAGGCGACGAUCAGUAGCGGGUCUGAGAGGAUGAUCCGCCACACUGGGACUGAGACACGGCCCAGACUCCUACGGGAGGCAGCAGUGGGGAAUUUUGGACAAUGGGCGCAAGCCUGAUCCAGCCAUGCCGCGUGUCUGAAGAAGGCCUUCGGGUUGUAAAGGACUUUUGUUAGGGAAGAAAAAGGAGCGGUUAAUACCCGUUUCUGCUGACGGUACCUAAAGAAUAAGCACCGGCUAACUACGUG